Molecule: long non-coding RNA, 199 nt
Filed under: Elaeis guineensis (African oil palm)
Lineage: Eukaryota; Viridiplantae; Streptophyta; Magnoliopsida; Arecales; Arecaceae
Description: long non-coding RNA (EGUI_LNC013252)
Source: RNAcentral
GAUCAAAUUUAUUGAAAGUAAGCUCCUUACUAGAUUAAUCCUAGAGAGAGAAACUUUAGAGAAAGAGAAAAUAGACAAAAAAAAAUUCUAAAAAAAUUGUAUAACGAGAAACUAAAGAAAAGAAAUGGAGAGAAGAACUAAGAAAAAUAAGUGAAGAGAGAGGAAAGAAGAGAAACUCUCUCUCUCCAUCAUACCCCUG